AUGACGCCCCGACAACAAAGUCGUCGCCUGGUCUCCUCCGCCGCUCCCGCCACUCUCCUGCUCCUACUCCUCGCCGGCGCCGCCGACGCCGAGCCACCGCUAGUCGGCGUUUCUCCCCAGGACGAGGCGUACUUCGCGCCGCAGGUGAUCGCCUGCAGGGACGGCUCGGGCUCCUUCCCCAGGAGCCGGCUCAACGACGGAUACUGCGAUUGCACCGAUGGAACCGACGAGCCAGGCACUUCGGCUUGCCCAGAAGGCAAAUUUUAUUGUAUAAACACUGGAGAUCUUCCUCGUAUCUUGUUCUCUUCGUUUGUGAAUGAUAACAUUUGCGAUUGCUGUGAUGGAAGUGAUGAGUAUGAAAGUGGCAUCCAUUGUCCGAACACAUGUAAAAAGAGACAUGAUACUGCCGAGACAGACAAUGGUGUUAGUGAGCUGUCAGUCGCACAUUUAGGUGGAACGGACAUAAUUUCUAGUAAACAUACACUUGACAUAGAAGAUCUUAUCCAGAAGCUAAGAGGAUUAAGAAUGGCUGCAGUUAUUGAACUGGGUGUUGUUGUAUGUAUUUUCGUUUUCUACUUUGCUCGACGGAGCACUCGGGCACGGAGGAGACAAUAUAUUUUGAAACGUAAGCUUUGGCCCCUCCAAUUUAUAAGUGUGUUCUUUCUUUCUGUAGUACUCCCUCCGAUACAUAUUUAUUGUCAUGGCUUUAGUAAAGUGUAA
Molecule: ribosomal RNA, 720 nt
Filed under: Triticum aestivum (bread wheat)
Lineage: Eukaryota; Viridiplantae; Streptophyta; Magnoliopsida; Poales; Poaceae
Description: partial small subunit ribosomal RNA
Source: RNAcentral